AUGAACGCUGGCGGCGUGCCUAAUACAUGCAAGUCGAGCGAACAGACGAGGAGCUUGCUCCUCUGACGUUAGCGGCGGACGGGUGAGUAACACGUGGAUAACCUACCUAUAAGACUGGGAUAACUUCGGGAAACCGGAGCUAAUACCGGAUAAUAUAUUGAACCGCAUGGUUCAAUAGUGAAAGACGGUUUUGCUGUCACUUAUAGAUGGAUCCGCGCCGCAUUAGCUAGUUGGUAAGGCAACGGCUUACCAAGGCGACGAUGCGUAGCCGACCUGAGAGGGUGAUCGGCCACACUGGAACUGAGACACGGUCCAGACUCCUACGGGAGGCAGCAGUAGGGAAUCUUCCGCAAUGGGCGAAAGCCUGACGGAGCAACGCCGCGUGAGUGAUGAAGGUCUUCGGAUCGUAAAACUCUGUUAUUAGGGAAGAACAAAUGUGUAAGUAACUAUGCACGUCUUGACGGUACCUAAUCAGAAAGCCACGGCUAACUACGUG
RNAcentral lists this ribosomal RNA (496 nucleotides) under uncultured bacterium. RNAcentral describes it as "partial 16S ribosomal RNA". It matches the Rfam family "Bacterial small subunit ribosomal RNA", at positions 29 to 507 of the family's 1533-position model. The record is from RNAcentral.